RNAcentral lists this ribosomal RNA (496 nucleotides) under uncultured bacterium. Its description in RNAcentral is "partial 16S ribosomal RNA". It matches the Rfam family "Bacterial small subunit ribosomal RNA", at positions 28 to 507 of the family's 1533-position model. The record is from RNAcentral.
GAUGAACGCUGGCGGCGUGCCUAAUACAUGCAAGUCGAGCGAACAGACGAGGAGCUUGCUCCUCUGACGUUAGCGGCGGACGGGUGAGUAACACGUGGAUACCUACCUAUAAGACUGGGGUAAAUUCGGGGAACCGGGGGUAAUACCGGAUAAUAUAUUGCACCGGAUGGUUUAAUAAGGGAAAACGGUUUUGCUGGUCCUUAUAGAUGGAUCCGCGCCGCAUUAGCUAGUUGGUAAGGUAACGGCUUACCAAGGCAACGAUGCGUAGCCGACCUGAGAGGGUGAUCGGCCACACUGGAACUGAGACACGGUCCAGACUCCUACGGGAGGCAGCAGUAGGGAAUCUUCCGCAAUGGGCGAAAGCCUGACGGAGCAACGCCGCGUGAGUGAUGAAGGUCUUCGGAUCGUAAAACUCUGUUAUUAGGGAAGAACAAAUGUGUAAGUAACUAUGCACGUCUUGACGGUACCUAAUCAGAAAGCCACGGCUAACUACGUG